CAACCUGCCGACAACACUGGGAUAGCCUUUCGAAAGAAAGAUUAAUACCGGAUGGCAUAGUCUUCCCGCAUGGGAUGAUUAUUAAAGAAUUUCGGUUGUCGAUGGGGAUGCGUUCCAUUAGGCAGUUGGCGGGGUAACGGCCCACCAAACCUACGAUGGAUAGGGGUUCUGAGAGGAAGGUCCCCCACAUUGGAACUGAGACACGGUCCAAACUCCUACGGGAGGCAGCAGUGAGGAAUAUUGGUCAAUGGACGAGAGUCUGAACCAGCCAAGUAGCGUGAAGGAUGACUGCCCUAUGGGUUGUAAACUUCUUUUAUACGGGAAUAAAGUUAGCCACGUGUGGCUUUUUGUAUGUACCGCAUGAAUAAGGAUCGGCUAACUCCGUGCCAGCAGCCGCGGUAAUACGGAGGAUCCGAGCGUUAUCCGGAUUUAUUGGGUUUAAAGGGAGCGUAGGCGGGUUGUUAAGUCAGUUGUGAAAGUUUGCGGCUCAACCGUAAAAUUGCGGUUGAUACUGUAUGUCUUGAGUGUACAAGAGGUGGGCGGAAUUCGUGGUGUAGCGGUGAAAUGCUUAGAUAUCACGAAGAACUCCGAUUG
This 594-nucleotide ribosomal RNA is filed under the name uncultured Bacteroidota bacterium. RNAcentral describes it as "bacterial SSU rRNA". It matches the Rfam family "Bacterial small subunit ribosomal RNA", at positions 122 to 715 of the family's 1533-position model. The record is from RNAcentral. Lineage: Bacteria; Pseudomonadati; Bacteroidota.